CCUCCAAUUCACAUGAUGAGACCUUUCUUGAACCUUCAAUCAAUUAGGAAGAGCCGGAAAAGGUAUGGCAAAUAAUCCCAACUCAAAAAAGAAGAUUGGGUGCAUUUGUCGUCGGUGCUUAGAAUUGGUUCUGCUGAGGAGGAUUUUUGU
Molecule: non-coding RNA, 150 nt
Organism: Talaromyces marneffei PM1
Lineage: Eukaryota; Fungi; Ascomycota; Eurotiomycetes; Eurotiales; Trichocomaceae
Source: Rfam